RNAcentral lists this ribosomal RNA (253 nucleotides) under uncultured bacterium. RNAcentral's name for it is "partial 16S ribosomal RNA". It matches the Rfam family "Bacterial small subunit ribosomal RNA", at positions 524 to 776 of the family's 1533-position model. The record is from RNAcentral.
UACGUAGGGUGCGAGCGUUGUCCGGAAUUAUUGGGCGUAAAGGGUGCGUAGGUGGCGCUGUAAGUCGGGUGUGAAAUUUCGGAGCUUAACUCCGAAACUGCAUUCGAUACUGCGGUGCUUGAGGACUGGAGAGGAGACUGGAAUUCAUGGUGUAGCAGUGAAAUGCGUAGAGAUCAUGAGGAAGACCAGUGGCGAAGACGGGUCUCUGGACAGUUCCUGACACUGAGGCACGAAGGCCAGGGGAGCAAACGGG